UUAAGCGACUAAGCGUACACGGUGGAUGCCCUGGCAGUCAGAGGCGAUGAAGGACGUGCUAAUCUGCGAUAAGCGUCGGUGAGGUGAUAUGAACCGUUAUAACCGGCGAUUUCCGAAUGGGGAAACCCAGUGUGUUUCGACACACUAUCAUUAACUGAAUCCAUAGGUUAAUGAGGCGAACCGGGGGAACUGAAACAUCUAAGUACCCCGAGGAAAAGAAAUCAACCGAGAUUCCCCCAGUAGCGGCGAGCGAACGGGGAGGAGCCCAGAGCCUGAAUCAGUGUGUGUGUUAGUGGAAGCGUCUGGAAAGGCGUGCGAUACAGGGUGACAGCCCCGUACACAAAAAUGCACAUAUUGUGAGCUCGAUGAGUAGGGCGGGACACGUGGUAUCCUGUCUGAAUAUGGGGGGACCAUCCUCCAAGGCUAAAUACUCCUGACUGACCGAUAGUGAACCAGUACCGUGAGGGAAAGGCGAAAAGAACCCCGGCGAGGGGAGUGAAAAAGAACCUGAAACCGUGUACGUACAAGCAGUGGGAGCCUCUUAAUGGGGUGACUGCGUACCUUUUGUAUAAUGGGUCAGCGACUUAUAUUCUGUAGCAAGGUUAACCGAAUAGGGGAGCCGAAGGGAAACCGAGUCUUAACUGGGCGUUAAGUUGCAGGGUAUAGACCCGAAACCCGGUGAUCUAGCCAUGGGCAGGUUGAAGGUUGGGUAACACUAACUGGAGGACCGAACCGACUAAUGUUGAAAAAUUAGCGGAUGACUUGUGGCUGGGGGUGAAAGGCCAAUCAAACCGGGAGAUAGCUGGUUCUCCCCGAAAGCUAUUUAGGUAGCGCCUCGUGAAUUCAUCUCCGGGGGUAGAGCACUGUUUCGGCAAGGGGGUCAUCCCGACUUACCAACCCGAUGCAAACUGCGAAUACCGGAGAAUGUUAUCACGGGAGACACACGGCGGGUGCUAACAUCCGUCGUGAAGAGGGAAACAACCCAGACCGCCAGCUAAGGUCCCAAAGUCAUGGUUAAGUGGGAAACGAUGUGGGAAGGCCCAGACAGCCAGGAUGUUGGCUUAGAAGCAGCCAUCAUUUAAAGAAAGCGUAAUAGCUCACUGGUCGAGUCGGCCUGCGCGGAAGAUGUAACGGGGCUAAACCAUGCACCGAAGCUGCGGCAGCGACACUAUGUGUUGUUGGGUAGGGGAGCGUUCUGUAAGCCUGUGAAGGUGGCCUGUGAGGGUUGCUGGAGGUAUCAGAAGUGCGAAUGCUGACAUAAGUAACGAUAAAGCGGGUGAAAAGCCCGCUCGCCGGAAGACCAAGGGUUCCUGUCCAACGUUAAUCGGGGCAGGGUGAGUCGACCCCUAAGGCGAGGCCGAAAGGCGUAGUCGAUGGGAAACAGGUUAAUAUUCCUGUACUUGGUGUUACUGCGAAGGGGGGACGGAGAAGGCUAUGUUGGCCGGGCGACGGUUGUCCCGGUUUAAGCGUGUAGGCUGGUUUUCCAGGCAAAUCCGGAAAACCAAGGCUGAGGCGUGAUGACGAGGCACUACGGUGCUGAAGUGACAAAUGCCCUGCUUCCAGGAAAAGCCUCUAAGCAUCAGGUAACAUCAAAUCGUACCCCAAACCGACACAGGUGGUCAGGUAGAGAAUACCAAGGCGCUUGAGAGAACUCGGGUGAAGGAACUAGGCAAAAUGGUGCCGUAACUUCGGGAGAAGGCACGCUGAUAUGUAGGUGAAGCGACUUGCUCGUGGAGCUGAAAUCAGUCGAAGAUACCAGCUGGCUGCAACUGUUUAUUAAAAACACAGCACUGUGCAAACACGAAAGUGGACGUAUACGGUGUGACGCCUGCCCGGUGCCGGAAGGUUAAUUGAUGGGGUUAGCGGUAACGCGAAGCUCUUGAUCGAAGCCCCGGUAAACGGCGGCCGUAACUAUAACGGUCCUAAGGUAGCGAAAUUCCUUGUCGGGUAAGUUCCGACCUGCACGAAUGGCGUAAUGAUGGCCAGGCUGUCUCCACCCGAGACUCAGUGAAAUUGAACUCGCUGUGAAGAUGCAGUGUACCCGCGGCAAGACGGAAAGACCCCGUGAACCUUUACUAUAGCUUGACACUGAACAUUGAGCCUUGAUGUGUAGGAUAGGUGGGAGGCUUUGAAGUGUGGACGCCAGUCUGCAUGGAGCCGACCUUGAAAUACCACCCUUUAAUGUUUGAUGUUCUAACGUUGGCCCGUAAUCCGGGUUGCGGACAGUGUCUGGUGGGUAGUUUGACUGGGGCGGUCUCCUCCUAAAGAGUAACGGAGGAGCACGAAGGUUGGCUAAUCCUGGUCGGACAUCAGGAGGUUAGUGCAAUGGCAUAAGCCAGCUUGACUGCGAGCGUGACGGCGCGAGCAGGUGCGAAAGCAGGUCAUAGUGAUCCGGUGGUUCUGAAUGGAAGGGCCAUCGCUCAACGGAUAAAAGGUACUCCGGGGAUAACAGGCUGAUACCGCCCAAGAGUUCAUAUCGACGGCGGUGUUUGGCACCUCGAUGUCGGCUCAUCACAUCCUGGGGCUGAAGUAGGUCCCAAGGGUAUGGCUGUUCGCCAUUUAAAGUGGUACGCGAGCUGGGUUUAGAACGUCGUGAGACAGUUCGGUCCCUAUCUGCCGUGGGCGCUGGAGAACUGAGGGGGGCUGCUCCUAGUACGAGAGGACCGGAGUGGACGCAUCACUGGUGUUCGGGUUGUCAUGCCAAUGGCACUGCCCGGUAGCUAAAUGCGGAAGAGAUAAGUGCUGAAAGCAUCUAAGCACGAAACUUGCCCCGAGAUGAGUUCUCCCUGACUCCUUGAGAGUCCUGAAGGAACGUUGAAGACGACGACGUUGAUAGGCCGGGUGUGUAAGCGCAGCGAUGCGUUGAGCUAACCGGUACUAAUGAACCGUGAGGCUUAACCUU
RNAcentral lists this ribosomal RNA (2902 nucleotides) under Escherichia coli. RNAcentral's name for it is "23S ribosomal RNA". It matches the Rfam family "Bacterial large subunit ribosomal RNA". Lineage: Bacteria; Pseudomonadati; Pseudomonadota; Gammaproteobacteria; Enterobacterales; Enterobacteriaceae. The record is from RNAcentral.